Catharus ustulatus (Swainson's thrush) is the source of this 82-nucleotide small nucleolar RNA. The record is from Ensembl. NCBI's taxonomy places the organism in Eukaryota, Metazoa, Chordata, Aves, Passeriformes, Turdidae.
UGGCCUGAAAUGAUGUUCUGAGUUCAUGUCUCUUCUCUGAGAAGUCUUAUGGAGACAACCAGAUGUAUUUCUGAUCAGGCUU